Molecule: ribosomal RNA, 450 nt
Filed under: uncultured bacterium
Lineage: Bacteria
Description: partial 16S ribosomal RNA
Rfam family: Bacterial small subunit ribosomal RNA
Source: RNAcentral
CCUACGGGUGGCAGCAGUGGGGAAUUUUGGACAAUGGGGGCAACCCUGAUCCAGCCAUGCCGCGUGCGGGAAGAAGGCCUUCGGGUUGUAAACCGCUUUUAGCCGGGAAGAAAAGGCGAUCUCUAAUACGGGUCGUUCUUGACGGUACCGGCGGAAUAAGCACCGGCUAACUACGUGCCAGCAGCCGCGGUAAUCCGUAGGGUGCGAGCGUUAAUCGGAGUUAGUGGAGGUAAAGCGUGCGCACGCAGGUGAAAGCCCCGGGCUCAACCUGGGAACGGCAAUGGAAACUGGCGGGCUGGAGUGUGGCAGAGGGGGGUGGAAUUCCGCGUGUAGCAGUGAAAUGCGUAGAGAUGCGGAGGAACACCGAUGGCGAAGGCAGCCCCCUGGGCUGACACUGACGCUCAGGCACGAAAGCGUGGGGAGCAAACAGGAUUAGAUACCCCGGUAGUC